This is a long non-coding RNA of Capsella rubella, 405 nucleotides long. RefSeq lists it as uncharacterized. The record is from RefSeq and is a predicted model, not a curated record. The transcript is spliced from 2 exons. Lineage: Eukaryota; Viridiplantae; Streptophyta; Magnoliopsida; Brassicales; Brassicaceae.
AUUUAUUUCAUUCACACACAAAAAAAAUGGUUCCAUGGUGCAAAUGUUUCUUUUAUGUGUUCUUGUGUUUGGUUGUUCUCUUGAUCGUAGAUGUUCCGGAAGUCGAAGGACAUUUUGUGAUAGGUUCUUGCUCGAAAAUUCCAGACUGCCACACAAAAUGUAAUGAAAUGGGAUUCCGUCACGGAAGAUGUUUUGAAGAGGAACGCGGUGCCCCGGAAAAAGCAUGUGGUUGCUAUAGAAAUAUGUAGUCACAUUUUCUAAGAUAUUGCAUUGUAGGAACAUGUAGUCUUUAUAAUAAUAGUAAUAAUAAUGAUAUUAUCUUAGGGUAACUUUAUUGUAUUUGAUGCAACCAACAAGUUUGUAGCCAAUAAUUAUUUUGCAAAUCAAGUUACUAUUUCAUAGAAA